AUGUCAAAUUACCUCUUCAGCUCUUGUUUUAUUAUUAGAGGUUGUUUUCUUGAGACAUUGGGCUGAUCAUGAGAUCAUAUUUUAAUGGAGAAAUGAAUAUAUGCUUACUUAUUAUUAAAUUAAUCACAUAUAUCUCAAAAAACAUUUGUAAUUUGAUCAAUGCCAUAUAAUAGCUCAUAUAUCAUGAAUCACUAACUUUGAUUGCUUGUUUGCAGUGCUCAAAGGGCAGUGCACAAAUAAACUAAUUUGGUAGUAUCAGCAAAGUAUGGAGAUGUAUUUUACUUUUCUAAUUCCAGUUGUGUGUGCCAUUUUGUUUUUCAUUUUAAAUGUUUCAAAACUAUUGUCAAGUGAAGUGAUUGUUAUAGUUCUGACUAUUUCAGAGGUGUGUAUUCAGACGAUUUCAUGUUGAAAGACAAUGUUCAUCCAAUUCAAAAGGAAGUAAAUACUCUUUAGUUCUUUACUGAAAGUUUUUUAGCACAAAGGUUACACUAUAGUGUCCUUUCAUACAUCCACAAAUACAUGAAGGCCUCUUACAGAAAGUUAAGUAAACCUUUGCCCUAUGACUGCUGAACAUUAUGAAUCAUAUUGAUGCAGAAUUGAAACCCGAGUCACCUGCUGUUUUUGUUACAGCACUUUGAGUGUGUUACCACCACAUACUAUAUGUCUUAAAGCUGUUGUAUUGGCGCUUUUAUGACACACAAUGUAUCAUUUUUUAGCCCGUUUCAUGCCAUGCUGAUCAUCAGAUUGUGUGAAAUGUGUUUUAAGUUUCCACACAAGAGGGAUAUUCUAGGACCAAAUAUCCUAUCAUAAGCCUACUAUGGAUGAAGGUUAUAAUGUUCAGUUUUUGUGAAAUUUGUUUUGAUAUAAUUGUUCAUUGAUAUAAAUAGGGAGGACAAAAUAUUAGAAACAAUAAUAAUAAUAAUAAUAAUGCAAUACAAUACAAUUCAACACCAUACAGCUGAACAUUACAGUGUAACUUUCAUGCUGGUAUUAUUUAUUGCAGGGUUGUUGUUGAUUAGACUGGAUUAGUUUUAGCUAGGUGUACCUAAUAAUAUAACAACUGAGUGUAGUUUGUGAGAUUUGAGCUCAUGUUCAAUGUAAAACUUUAUAUGGAAGAAUUACUUUUUUAAUCUGGUGUCAAUUUAUGAAGCAUCUUCCAUAACAACCACACAUCUGCUUACAGAAGGCUACAUAAAACAACCCGGUAUAGGCCUACCUGCCAUCCAGAGUUUCUCCCGUAUUUUAAGACCACCUCGCGGCGCCCUCCCGUUUUGUUGUUUCUCCCGGCAAACUCCCGCAAUUUGCAUGGUCUUCAUUAUGAAUAAUCGUCAUACACGGAUUCAAGUUUUGGAUGUUUGUCUGACGUCUGCAUUCCAUUUAGGUGUGCAAGUUCCUGAGCCCUGAUAUAGUUCAUGCUGUCUAACUGGUAUGGUUUACCUGAAUGGAACACAUUAAUGUCAUCAUUAAUAUUAUUUAUUAGUCUUUUCCUGCUAUAACAGUCAAAAUGUCUCCCAUAAACAAGGCCUAUUACAGCAACUAUACUGUACAUUAGAAGUACAGUGGUGAAAUGAAACUAAGUGCAUCUUCUCAAGUACUGUACUUAAGUACAAAUGUGAGGUAUCUGUACUUUACUAGUAUUUCCAUUUCAUGACACAAGUCAAUUUUCAUGCAAAAAUGCCAAAACAUUUCAUGGUUUCAGCUUCUCAAAUGUGAAGAUUUGUUGUUUUCCUUGUCUUAAAAUACAGUAAACAGAAUAAUUUUGGUUAGAAGCAACAAACAUAUACACAAGAUCUCUCCCUAGGUCAUAGUUUAAGCCUAAUUUCAGAAUAAUAUUAUGUGUAUGACUUAAAAACCAAUUUUGACAUUUGUCCAGUAUUCUUCAUAGCUUAAUCUAAUUUGACUGGAAGUACAUGGCUUUAUAAUAUAUUACUUUCUAUCAUACUGUUCAAAGGUAGGCUUCUAGUAUGCUUGGCUUAAUAAAUAACUGUGUCUGAGACACUGCCCCAUAGUGUUAGAUUUACUAUAUGGAAAAAGUACAGUAAGCCAAUGCCCUCCAACUCAGUGGAUUUAAUGUUACAGUCCUUUGUGCCAUAUCUUAGGCAUUUAUAGACAAGCCCAAGUCAGAUUCAGUGACACCUGAAAUUUGUAAAAACAUUGAUGUCUCAACACUGGCGUCUUAACAUUACUGGCUAACCUUUCACCUCCUAAGAGAAGUCUGUGAAAGCUGUUUGAUCAGGAUUACAACAGAGGUGAACUCAAGAUAAGUUAAUCAGGCAGAAGAAGACAGUCUGACGUUGCAUAAGAGUCACAACAGCACUGAGCACAGCGACUACAGUAGGUAGAAAAUAUCUCAUUGGGCCUGGAGCAAAUGGACAUAAUUAAAAGUUAUAUAAUGCACAGAAAAUGUGGGACACUUAAAAGAGCGAUUAGAAAUUUGUGUUGAACUCUCCUUUUGUGGGGUUGUUGUGAUGUACUACAAGCAUUUUCAACAUUAAAUUAGUCAGCGAGAGGUGUUCACAAAAUAUAAAUUAUCCAUAUAUCAUACAGAUAUCUAGUAAAACUAUACAUCUUUUUCUUGAAUAAUAAUUUAUCCACUUUCAAUUACAGUUAAUGAUCUAGUUUUGUUAAUAGCACAACAAUACAAUAUUUGAGUCAAUCUGGUUGGGACAAAAAAAAAACAACGGCUCCUCUAAGAGAAAUGUUAAUUGCGUUUUACUCUUUCUGUCAUAUCAAAACAUGAUCCACAAAUAUGGAUCAGUAAAAAACUCAAAUAAAUUUUUGCCGCCCCAGUUUACAGAUCAAUAUGGUUCAAUGCAUUCCUGUGGUCUCACUGUAUGGCUACAGUGGUCCUCAAAACCAAUGUGGAUGUAAUGCUUCUGACUAAUAAAUCUGGACCAGGUGCAGGAAGGAUGAAUAGGGGAAAAACGAUGGACAUUUAUGGAAUAACGAGGUCCAAGCCGUCUGGUGAGAAAGCCUACCCUAUCCCUGGCCAUUUCACAUCGCGGGCAGCCGAGUAACCUUGUUUCCCCACCGCAGCUGAGACAAUGUCUACCUCGUCCCAGAUGUUGACUCUGCUACUGGGGAACGGAGUCAAAGUAUAGACCCUUCAUCUUCUGCUACUCCACCACUGCCUGCAGCAGGUACACAAAUGAUACCACCAGCCCCAUGUUCGCUCACUACAGUAGCUCCUGAUGGAGAAACAUCCACUUCUACAUCCUGAAUAGAUUUCACCUAGGGCUCCAAAAAAUGCUAGGGCCAGCCCUGCCAUCGACAGUCAUUAAUUUGGUACAAAGAUAUAAUCUUAGCAUUUUAACCUUGCUUUGACUGUAAAGUUCACCCACAGUGCUUGAAUUGUCUAUUUGAAUGUAAGAUGAUUGGAUUCCAGUAGAAUAAUGUGAAAGCUUUUUUUUGACAGUCCAUUGGGGAAAAACAAUGGCUAGCAAAACAAUUCUGCAAUGACUUUAACAUCCUCCAUAGUUUAGUUUACGUCAAGUGUCUUGUCCCUCCACCUUUUAUUGCCUUGACUUGUUUGUAGUGCUGUUCUUUCAUGUCAAUGUCCAUCCAUCCAAUUUCAACACGUCUUUCUGUCUUCUGUUCACAUUUGUUCCCAAGCCAAGAGUGUGAUUUUUUGCAGGUAUCUUAUCAUCUGUUGAUGUUAAUCUCCGUCGCAGUCGUGAAAUUAUAUGCUCUUUUCUUGAACUACUGGACACACUGGGUCACCUGCAGAAGGCCACUGUGGCUAUUCUGUCCCCAGAUUUUGGAAUGUAUUAAUGUCACUGAAUGACAUUAAUGGGAUCACAGAUGUAUCAAUCUACAAAAAGAAAACAAAUGGA
This is a long non-coding RNA of Siniperca chuatsi (mandarin fish), 3833 nucleotides long. RefSeq lists it as uncharacterized. The transcript has 4 exons. The record is from RefSeq and is a predicted model, not a curated record. Lineage: Eukaryota; Metazoa; Chordata; Actinopteri; Centrarchiformes; Sinipercidae.